This 153-nucleotide non-coding RNA is filed under the name pig gut metagenome. The record is from RNAcentral.
UUGGAAGAAGCCUAGAUGUUCUUAGCACUCUGCUCACUACCCAGCCAUUUCCGACAUGGAGGUCGGAAAAGUUGCAACGCAGACAUGGAGGUCUGCUUUGCAACGGUGGCGGACACUAUAAAUAAAUUAAAUCAGAGUGCUUAGAACACCUUG